UCACUUACAGCUGAUGAAGCUAGACUGGUC
Molecule: small RNA, 30 nt
Filed under: Bombyx mori (domestic silkworm)
Lineage: Eukaryota; Metazoa; Arthropoda; Insecta; Lepidoptera; Bombycidae
Description: ovarian small RNA-25477
Source: RNAcentral